This 762-nucleotide ribosomal RNA is filed under the name uncultured bacterium. Its description in RNAcentral is "bacterial SSU rRNA". It matches the Rfam family "Bacterial small subunit ribosomal RNA", at positions 11 to 765 of the family's 1533-position model. The record is from RNAcentral.
GUUUGAUCAUGGCUCAGGAUGAACGCUAGCGGCAGGCUUAAUACAUGCAAGUCGAGGGGCAGCACAGGUAGCAAUACUGGGUGGCGACCGGCAAACGGGUGCGGAACACGUACGCAACCUUCCUUUAACUGGAGAAUAGCCCCUCGAAAGAGGGAUUAAUACUCCGUAACAUGUUGAUAAGGCAUCUUAUUAAUAUUAUAGCCUUCGGGCGGUUAAAGAUGGGCGUGCGCCUGAUUAGAUAGUUGGCGGGGUAACGGCCCACCAAGUCUGCGAUCAGUAACUGGUGUGAGAGCACGACCAGUCACGCGGGCACUGAGACACGGGCCCGACUCCUACGGGAGGCAGCAGUAAGGAAUAUUGGUCAAUGGACGCAAGUCUGAACCAGCCAUGCCGCGUGGAGGAUUAAGGCCCUCUGGGUUGUAAACUCCUUUUAUCUGGGAAGAAAUGCAUUUUUUCUAAAGUGCUUGACGGUACCAGAGGAAUAAGCACCGGCUAACUCCGUGCCAGCAGCCGCGGUAAUACGGAGGGUGCAAGCGUUAUCCGGAUUCACUGGGUUUAAAGGGUGCGUAGGCGGGCAGGUAAGUCCGUGGUGAAAUCUCUGAGCUUAACUCAGAAACUGCCAUGGAUACUAUUUGUCUUGAAUACUGUGGAGGUAAGCGGAAUAUGUCAUGUAGCGGUGAAAUGCUUAGAUAUGACAUGGAANCACCAAUUGCGAAGGCAGCUUACUACACAGUUAUUGACGCUGAGGCACGAAAGCGUGGG